AGUGAACGCUGGCGGUAGGCCUAACACAUGCAAGUCGAACGGCAGCACAGUAAGAGCUUGCUCUUACGGGUGGCGAGUGACGGACGGGUGAGGAAUACAUCGGAAUCUACUUUUUCGUGGGGGAUAACGUAGGGAAACUUACGCUAAUACCGCAUACGACCUACGGGUGAAAGCAGGGGAUCUUCGGACCUUGCGCGAUUGAAUGAGCCGAUGUCGGAUUAGCUAGUUGGCGGGGUAAGGGCCCACCAAGGCGACGAUCCGUAGCUGGUCUGAGAGGAUGAUCAGCCACACUGGAACUGAGACACGGUCCAGACUCCUACGGGAGGCAGCAGUGGGGAAUAUUGGACAAUGGGCGCAAGCCUGAUCCAGCCAUACCGCGUGGGUGAAGAAGGCCUUCGGGUUGUAAAGCCCUUUUGUUGGGAAAGAAAAGCAGCAGGUUAAUACCCCGCUGUUCUGACGGUACCCAAAGAAUAAGCACCGGCUAACUUCGUG
RNAcentral lists this ribosomal RNA (492 nucleotides) under uncultured bacterium. RNAcentral's name for it is "partial 16S ribosomal RNA". It matches the Rfam family "Bacterial small subunit ribosomal RNA", at positions 29 to 507 of the family's 1533-position model. The record is from RNAcentral.